This 405-nucleotide ribosomal RNA is filed under the name uncultured bacterium. Its description in RNAcentral is "partial 16S ribosomal RNA". It matches the Rfam family "Bacterial small subunit ribosomal RNA", at positions 30 to 525 of the family's 1533-position model. The record is from RNAcentral.
AUUGAACGCUGGCGGCAUGCUUUACACAUGCAAGUCGAACGAGUGGCGAACGGGUGAGUAAUAUAUCGGAACGUACCGAUUCAUGGGGGAUAACCACUCGAAAGAUUGGCUAAUACCGCAUAUUAUUCGAGCGGCCGAUAACUGAUUGGCUAGUUGGUGGGGUAAAGGCCUACCAAGGCGACGAUCAGUAGCGGGUCGGAGGGGUCGAUCCGCCACACGGGGACGGGGACACGGCCCAGACUCCUACGGGAGGAAGCAGUGGGGAAUUUUGGAAAAGGGGGGCAACCUUGAGCCAGCCAUGCCGCGUGUAUGAAGAGGGCCUUCGGGUUGUAAAUUACUUUUGUUAGGGAAGCGGUACCGAAAGAAUAAGAACCGGCUAACUACGUGCCAGCAGCCGCGGAAAUU